AUGGGGGGGGCCCGGGGGGGGCCGUGCCCCACCCCGGUGCUGCCGUGGGGCGGCCGUGGGCGCCUGCCAGCCCGGUGCUGCCGGUGAGUCACGGCCGUGACUCAGCCCCACGACAAACAGCGUCGCGCAGCAACGCCGCCCGCCGCCCCACGGCCCCGGGGGGCACGGCCCCACGGCCCCACGGCCCCACGGCACUGCCCCAUGGCGCUGCCCCAUAGCCACGCUGCCCCAUAGCGCUGCCCCAUGGCGCUGCCCCAUAGCACUGCCCCAUAGCCACACUGCCCCAUAGCACUGCCCCAUGGCACUGCCCCAUAGCACUACCCCAUGGCCCCACGGCACUGCCCCAUAGCCACACCGCCCCAUAGCGCUGCCCCAUGGCACUGCCCCACGGCGCUGCCCCAUAGCCACACUGCCCCAUAGCGCUGCCCCAUGGCACUGCCCCAUAGCACUGCCCCAUAGCCACACUGCCCCAUAGCACUGCCCCAUGGCACUGCCCCAUAGCACUACCCCAUGGCCCCACGGCACUGCCCCAUAGCCACACUGCCCCAUGGCACUGCCCCAUAGCCACACUGCCCCAUAGCGCUGCCCCAUGGCGCUGCCCCAUAGUGCUGCCCCAUAGCGCUGCCCCAUAGCGCUGCCCCAUAGCCACACUGCCCCAUGGCACUGCCCCAUGGUGCUGCCCCACGGCGCUGCCCCAUGGCGCUGCCCCAUAGCACUGCCCCAUAGCCAAACCGCCCCAUAGCGCUGCCCCAUGGCGCUGCCCCACGGCGCUGCCCCAUAGCCACGCUGCCCCAUAGCGCUGCCCCAUGGUGCUGCCCCAUGGACACACUGCCCCAUAGUGCUGCCCCAUGGCGCUGCCCCACAGCGCUGCCCCACACGCCCCCCCCAGGUGGGGCAGGGCCGGGGCCGGGCGCUGGCCCCAGCGGAGCCGCGGGGAAGGAAGGAAGGAAGAAGCCGGGGAGGGAGCGCGGGGCCGGGAGGAACGGGAAAUCCCGUCCCAGUGCCCCCAGUGCCGGGCUCCCAGUGCUCCCAGUGCUCCCAGUCCCUCCAGAGCCAGGCUCCCAGUGGCCUCAGUGCCAUGGCUCCCAGUGUUCUACGCAACAGGUUCCCAGUGGCCCCAGUAUGGGGGCUCCCAGUGCUCCCAGUGGCCCUAGUGCCAGGCCUCCCAGUGGCCCCAGUGCCGUGGCACGCAGUGCUCCCAGUGCUGGGCUCCCAGUGCUCCCAGUACCUCCCAGGGCACCCCACUGUGGGCUGCAGGGGUCUGUGGGUGCCCAAAUACCAGGCGCUGCCCCACAGCGCUGCCCCAUGGCGCUGCCUGGAUGCAGCUUUGGCUGCCUGGACCAGGCCGGCCACCCCCAGAAAUGUGCCGUGCCGCGCCGCACUGCGCCAUGCCGUGCCGUGCUGCACUGUGCCGUGCCGUGCCGUGCCGCGCCGUGCCGUGCCGUGCCGUGCUGCACCGUGCCGUGCCACAUGUCACUGCCACGCCGUUACGGCACAGCAGCACAGCACCAGGGCACUGGGGCACUGCACCACGAUGUGCCCUGCAGUGCCCUGCAACGUGCCGCGCUGCAUGGGGCUGCACCCUGCGACGCCGCGCUGCACCGUGCCGUGCUGCACCCUGCUGCACCACGCUGUGCCAUGCAGUGCCGUGCUGCACCGUGCCGUGCUGCACCCUGCUGCACCAUGCCGCGCUGCACCCUGCUGCACCGUGCUGUGCCAUGCAGUGCCGUGCUGCACCCUGCAAUGCUGCACCGUGCAAUGCCAUGCACCGCUGGGCUGCGCCCUGCAAUGCUGCGCUGCACCCAGUGUGCUGCACCCUGCUGCACUGUGCAGUGCUGUACUGUGCCAUGCCAUGCCGUGCUGCGCCCUGCUGUACCCUGCAACGCCGCGCUGCACCCUGCAAGGCCGUGCAACGCCGCACUGCGCCCUGCAACGCUGCACUGCGUCCUGCCGCACCCUGCAAUGCCACGCUGCACCCUGCAAGGCCGUGCAACGCUGCACUGCGCCCUGCUGCACCCUGCCGAGCCGUGCCACGCCGUGCCCGUUGCAGCGCGGCAGCAGCGUGCGCGAGGCCGCGGCGGCGGCGCUGAGUCAGGCGGGAGGAAUGCGCCCGUCUGGCGCGUGGGCGUGCGCCAGCCCCGGCCCCGCCGCCGCUGCCAUUACCUAGAAAGGACAUUUCUGCGCCGCCGGGCCCCGCAGCGCCCCACGGCACGCGGUGCGGCGUGCGCGGCGCCGCCGCCGCCGUCGGGUGCCCGCGCGCACGUGCCCGCGGCUCC
Molecule: long non-coding RNA, 2276 nt
Organism: Anser cygnoides (Swan goose)
Lineage: Eukaryota; Metazoa; Chordata; Aves; Anseriformes; Anatidae
Source: Ensembl